RNAcentral lists this ribosomal RNA (497 nucleotides) under uncultured bacterium. Its description in RNAcentral is "partial 16S ribosomal RNA". It matches the Rfam family "Bacterial small subunit ribosomal RNA", at positions 28 to 507 of the family's 1533-position model. The record is from RNAcentral.
GAUGAACGCUGGCGGCGUGCCUAAUACAUGCAAGUCGAGCGAACAGAUGAGGAGCUUGCUCCUCUGACGUUAGCGGCGGACGGGUGAGUAACACGUGGAUAACCUACCUAUAAGACUGGGAUAACUUCGGGAAACCGGAGCUAAUACCGGAUAAUAUAUUGAACCGCAUGGUUCAAUAGUGAAAGACGGUUUUGCUGUCACUUAUAGAUGGAUCCGCGCCGCAUUAGCUAGUUGGUAAGGUAACGGCUUACCAAGGCAACGAUGCGUAGCCGACCUGAGAGGGGGGUCGGCCACACUGGAACUGAGACAAGGUCCAGACUCCUACGGGAAGCAGCAGUAGGGAAUCUUCCGGAAUGGGCGAAAGCCUUACGGAGCAACGCCGCGUGAGUGAUGAAGGUCUUCGGAUCGUAAAACUCUGUUAUUAGGGAAGAACAAAUGUGUAAGUAACUAUGCACGUCUUGACGGUACCUAAUCAGAAAGCCACGGCUAACUACGUG